GACGAACGCUGGCGGCGUGCUUAACACAUGCAAGUCGAACGGAAAGGCCCUGCUUUUGUGGGGUGCUCGAGUGGCGAACGGGUGAGUAACACGUGAGUAACCUGCCCUUGACUUUGGGAUAACUUCAGGAAACUGGGGCUAAUACCGGAUAGGAGCUCCUGCUGCAUGGUGGGGGUUGGAAAGUUUCGGCGGUUGGGGAUGGACUCGCGGCUUAUCAGCUUGUUGGUGGGGUAGUGGCUUACCAAGGCUUUGACGGGUAGCCGGCCUGAGAGGGUGACCGGCGACAUUGCGCCUGAGGUACGGCCCAGACUCCUACGGGAGGCAGCAGUGGGGAAUAUUGCACAAUGGGCGGAAGUGUGAUGCAGCAACGCCGGGUGCGGGAUGACGGGCUUUGAGUUGUAAACCGAUUUGGACUGUGACGAAGCGUGAGUGACGGUAAUGGGUAAGGAAGCACCGGCUAACUACGUG
RNAcentral lists this ribosomal RNA (468 nucleotides) under uncultured bacterium. Its description in RNAcentral is "partial 16S ribosomal RNA". It matches the Rfam family "Bacterial small subunit ribosomal RNA", at positions 28 to 507 of the family's 1533-position model. The record is from RNAcentral.